GCCAGGUGUGUGGUGCACACCUGUAAUCCCAGGACCCAGGAGGCUGAGGCAGGAGGAUCACAAGUUGGAAGGCAGCCUUAACAACUUCGUGAGACCCUGACUCAA
This 105-nucleotide small RNA is filed under the name Marmota monax (woodchuck). Lineage: Eukaryota; Metazoa; Chordata; Mammalia; Rodentia; Sciuridae. The record is from RNAcentral.